Molecule: long non-coding RNA, 570 nt
Filed under: Glycine max (soybean)
Lineage: Eukaryota; Viridiplantae; Streptophyta; Magnoliopsida; Fabales; Fabaceae
Description: long non-coding RNA (GMAX_LNC002576)
Source: RNAcentral
UCCAAUACACCUUACAUAGCUGGGUACACAACAACCAGUGCUUCCCACAAAGCCAAUCAACCUAAUUACCUUGCAGGGUAUAGGACCAAAACCGAUGAUUCCAAUACACCCUACAUAGCUGGGUAUACAACAACUAAUGCCCAUGUGGCAAAUAAUCAACCUAAUUACAUUGCAGGGUAUAGGACUAGCACCACCCAAGAAUCCAAUACACCUUCUUACAUUGCAGGGUAUAGGACUAGCACCACCCAAGAAUCCAAUACACCUUCUUACAUUGCAGGGUAUAGGACUAGCACCACCCAAGAAUCCAAUACACCUUACAUUGCAGGGUAUAGGACUAGCACCACCCAAGAAUCCAAUACACCUUACAUUGCAGGGUAUAGGACUAGCACCACCCAAGAAUCCAAUACACCUUACAUUGCAGGGUAUAGGACUAGAACCACCCAUGAUCCUAAUGCACCUUACAUAGCUGGGUACACAACAACUAGUGCCAAGAAAGCUCCAAAAGGGUCAUCUCAUGAUGAUACCACUGGACCUUACAUAACCCAAUAUGGUGGACCCGGUCCCAAAAAU